RNAcentral lists this ribosomal RNA (492 nucleotides) under uncultured bacterium. RNAcentral describes it as "partial 16S ribosomal RNA". It matches the Rfam family "Bacterial small subunit ribosomal RNA", at positions 29 to 507 of the family's 1533-position model. The record is from RNAcentral.
AGUGAACGCUGGCGGUAGGCCUAACACAUGCAAGUCGAACGGCAGCACAGUAAGAGCUUGCUCUUACGGGUGGCGAGUGGCGGACGGGUGAGGAAUACAUCGGAAUCUACUUUUUCGUGGGGGAUAACGUAGGGAAACUUACGCUGAUACCGCAUACGACCUACGGGUGAAAGCAGGGGAUCUUCGGACCUUGCGCGAUUGAAUGAGCCGAUGUCGGAUUAGCUAGUUGGCGGGGUAAAGGCCCACCAAGGCGACGAUCCGUAGCUGGUCUGAGAGGAUGAUCAGCCACACUGGAACUGAGACACGGUCCAGACUCCUACGGGAGGCAGCAGUGGGGAAUAUUGGACAAUGGGCGCAAGCCUGAUCCAGCCAUACCGCGGGGGUGAAGAAGGCCUUCGGGUUGUAAAGCCCUUUUGUUGGGAAAGAAAAGCAGCAGGUUAAUACCCCGCUGUUCUGACGGUACCCAAAGAAUAAGCACCGGCUAACUUCGUG